Molecule: ribosomal RNA, 468 nt
Filed under: uncultured bacterium
Lineage: Bacteria
Description: partial 16S ribosomal RNA
Rfam family: Bacterial small subunit ribosomal RNA
Source: RNAcentral
GAUGAACGCUGGCGGCGUGCUUAACACAUGCAAGUCGAACGGAAAGGCCCAAGCUUGCUUGGGUACUCGAGUGGCGAACGGGUGAGUAACACGUGGGUGAUCUGCCCUGCACUUCGGGAUAAGCCUGGGAAACUGGGUCUAAUACCGGAUAGGACCACUUCUUGGAUGUUGUGGUGGAAAGUUUUUUCGGUGUGGGAUGAGCUCGCGGCCUAUCAGCUUGUUGGUGGGGUAAUGGCCUACCAAGGCGUCGACGGGUAGCCGGCCUGAGAGGGUGUACGGCCACAUUGGGACUGAGAUACGGCCCAGACUCCUACGGGAGGCAGCAGUGGGGAAUAUUGCACAAUGGGCGCAAGCCUGAGGCAGCGACGCCGCGUGGGGGAUGACGGCCUUCGGGUUGUAAACUCCUUUCGCUAGGGACGAAGCGUUUUUGUGACGGUACCUGGAGAAGAAGCACCGGCUAACUACGUG